Molecule: ribosomal RNA, 468 nt
Filed under: uncultured bacterium
Lineage: Bacteria
Description: partial 16S ribosomal RNA
Rfam family: Bacterial small subunit ribosomal RNA
Source: RNAcentral
GACGAACGCUGGCGGCGUGCUUAACACAUGCAAGUCGAACGGAAAGGCCCUGCUUUUGUGGGGUGCUCGAGUGGCGAACGGGUGAGUAACACGUGAGUAACCUGCCCUUGACUUUGGAAUAACUUCAGGAAACUGGGGCUAAUACCGGAUAGGAGCUCCUGCUGCAUGGUGGGGGUUGGAAAGUUUCGGCGGUUGGGGAUGGACUCGCGGCUUAUCAGCUUGUUGGGGGGGUAGUGGCUUACCAAGGCUUUGACGGGUAGCCGGUCUGAGAGGGUGACCGGCCACAUUGGGACUGAGAUACGGCCCAGACUCCUACGGGAGGCAGCAGUGGCGAAUAUUGCACAAUGGGCGGAAGCCUGAUGCAGCAACGCCGCGUGCGGGAUGACGGCCUUCCGGUUGUAAACCGCUUUCGCCUGUGACGAAGCGUGAGUGACGGUAAUGGGUAAAGAAGCACCGGCUAACUCCGUG